Molecule: transfer RNA, 71 nt
Filed under: Sphaerodactylus townsendi
Lineage: Eukaryota; Metazoa; Chordata; Lepidosauria; Squamata; Sphaerodactylidae
Description: tRNA-Ala
Source: RNAcentral
GGGCUCUGUCUCAGCGGUAGAGCGUCUGCUUGGCAUACGGAAGGUCCCGGGUUCAAUCCUGGUCAUGUCCA